Molecule: ribosomal RNA, 477 nt
Filed under: uncultured bacterium
Lineage: Bacteria
Description: partial 16S ribosomal RNA
Rfam family: Bacterial small subunit ribosomal RNA
Source: RNAcentral
GACGAACGCUGGCGGCGUGCUUAACACAUGCAAGUCGAACGGUAAGGCCCUUCGGGGUACACGAGUGGCGAACGGGUGAGUAACACGUGGGUGAUCUGCCCUGCACUUCGGGAUAAGCCUGGGAAACUGGGUCUAAUACCGGAUAGGACCACUGCCUGCAUGGGUGGUGGUGGAAAGCUUUUGCGGUGUGGGAUGGGCCCGCGGCCUAUCAGCUUGUUGGUGGGGUGAUGGCCUGCCAAGGCGACGACGGGUAGCCGGCCUGGGAGGGUGACCGGCCAGACUGGGACUGGGAUACGGCCCAGACGCCUACGGGAGGCAGCAGUGGGGAAUAUUGCACAAUGGGCGCAAGCCUGAUGCAGCGACGCCGCGUGAGGGAUGACGGCCUUCGGGUUGUAAACCUCUUUCAGCACCGGCGAAGCGCAAGUGGCGGUAGGUGCAGAAGAAGGACCGGCCAACUACGUGCAGCAGCCGCGGUAA